CAGGCCUAACACAUGCAAGUCGAACGAUAGCAUCCUUCGGGAUGUGGACAGUGGCAGACGGGUGAGUAACGCGUGGGAAUUUGCCCAGAGGUUCGGGACAACCAUUGGAAACGAUGGCUAAUACCGGAUAAGCCCGUAAGGGGAAAGAUUUAUUGCCUUUGGAUAAGCCCGCGUAAGAUUAGCUAGUUGGUGAGGUAAUGGCUCACCAAGGCGACGAUCUUUAGCUGGUCUGAGAGGAUGAUCAGCCACAUUGGGACUGAGACACGGCCCAGACUCCUACGGGAGGCAGCAGUGGGGAAUAUUGCGCAAUGGGGGAAACCCUGACGCAGCCAUGCCGCGUGAGUGACGAAGGCCUUAGGGUUGUAAAGCUCUUUCGCUAGGGAAGAUAAUGACGGUACCUAGUAAAGAAGCCCCGGCUAACUCCGUGCCAGCAGCCGCGGUAAUACGGAGGGGGCUAGCGUUGUUCGGAAUCACUGGGCGUAAAGCGCACGUAGGCGGACCAAUUAGUUGGGGGUGAAAGCCCGGAGCUCAACUCCG
Molecule: ribosomal RNA, 537 nt
Filed under: uncultured Alphaproteobacteria bacterium
Lineage: Bacteria; Pseudomonadati; Pseudomonadota; Alphaproteobacteria
Description: bacterial SSU rRNA
Rfam family: Bacterial small subunit ribosomal RNA
Source: RNAcentral